AAUUGCACUGCAGCCUGGGCGAUAGAGUGAGACUUCACCUGGAAAAAAAAAAAAAAAAGGACUUUAUGAAUUUUAAGGCCUUCAUUCUUUUCUUUAUAACAUAAUUUCCACAUGUAUUUACUUUGUACAGGCCACUAUAGCUACCAUAUUAAGACCAGUAUUAUCAGCUUAAUUCUGAUUAUAAAAAUAUUAUCUCAGAAUGUCAUCCCAAAGGAAACCCUUGAAAGAUAGGACUAUUUAAAAUACCAGGUAGUAUAUGCAGAACCAGAGGCAGAAUACCAUCUGCAGAUCUCAAAUUUUAAGGAAAAAACUUUGAAAGAAAUGGCAUGACAAACCCAUAGCCUCAUAAAGUUGAAUUUAGAAUUCAACAAUAGAAUUGCAGCUAUCUUCUUCAAUUAACUUUGCAAGUUAUAACUGUGAGAUUUUUUUCUCUUAAAACUGAUUUCCUGGGGAGUUAACUUCUUGAAACAUAUCACUAAGGAGAAGCAAAGAAAAGAAAGCCAAAUGAGCUAUUUGUAGUAUCAACAAAGACAUUUGAAAGAGAAGGCAAUUCUCCAUUUCCCAUGAGAGUGUGUAAGAAGUCUACCAUUGGCAUCAUCUCCAAUCACAGCCUACAGCAUCCAUCAGGACACUCUUAGGACACCAAUUCUGAUCUGAACAAACUUGGACAGCCUAACAGUUUUGGAGCUUUUGCAAACAGAAGUUUCAGUUGAAUUGCAGUGAGUGGGUCUACAUAUUCAAGAAAGGAAGGCACAGCGGAAAAAAGGAAGAGAAGAAAGGUAAAUGGACUUUAAACACCAUACCAUUUUCUACUUCAAAAGAAAAAAUACGAACAUUUUUUAAACACCCCAGAACUACAUACUGUUUAAAGGAAGAAACUGUAGCCAAAAAAUAAAGAUUCUAUACGGUGAGAUAACCACCUAAGAUGUUCUACUAUAUAAAAUCUCAUUUAGAAAAUCUUUAAUAAUGGUUUAUUACUUAUUUCAAUAUAUUUAUCUACAGUGUUCCACCCUUUCAUUCACAUGUAUUAUUUUUAUGACAUUUGUAUACUAUAGUUAGAAAACUGGAGAUAGUGUGAAGAAAUCUUAGAAUUGUGUCUUUUGAAAACACUACAACUGCUGCUAUUAAAAUGUAUUGAUUCCUACCUCACUUUCAAAUUUGUAGAAAUGAGCUAGAGUAUAUAAAUUGUGUUGUUAAAAAUAAAAUUAGUAUAUAUCUGUCUCUCUGACAUACAAAUUAGUAACUAAGCCAUAGAGAUAAUGGGAAAACACAUGACUUUCUCUUUGACAAGGAUAUUUGAUAAAUCCAUCUAAUUAAAGCAUUCUUUAAAAAGAAUUGAGAAGAAUUCUGUCUACUUGGGCAUAUGUUUUUAAAUUUCCAUAAUAAAAAUAUUUUUAAAACACACUAUUGUAGUUGGCACUAGCGAAUUUCUGCUUAUCCUUGUAUAUUGCCUCAUAUAAUUAUCAUUUACAAUAUGAAAGAGGUCAUCAGUGAAAACAGGGCAAGAAAAAUUUAAAGUUUAAGAUGAGGGAAUAUUAAUGGAUGUGUAACAAGUUUAGAAAGUUCUUGAGCUGCCUUAAAACUAAUAUAUAAACUAUAUGUAUCUUUAAGAGAGAAAGGAAAUAUGUAUAUCCUCUCCUUCAUGGAAGUAGGAAGGAAGAGAGUCCAUAAAGUACUUAAGUGAAGUCCAGCUUUAUAUAUAUACAGAUUAGGUUAUCAUCAUAAUGUUCUAAAUUUUCUUUCCUAUGUUCUAGAGAAUUUACAAAUGAAAUAGAUUAAUUAGAGAUAUAGCUAGUUAGAGCCCAAAUAAAUGAUGGCACAUUAUAAUAUAUGUUAUAAUGUCAUAUUAUAAUGGGAUAGCAUGAAAAUGACAUAGCUCACCUGUAUUUAUACUUACAGUUCCAGCUGCUGUUUGAAUGUCUUUUUGUGAUCUCAAACUCAAUGUGUCCAGCUCUGCUUUCUUAAUACUUCUGUCAAUGGUAAUGUUCUUAAAGUGUCUCUGCAUAGAAAUCUUCUAGUUAUCUUUUACUCUUUCUUGUUUUUCAUCUUUGACAUUUAGUGUGUCAUUAAAUGUUGUCAUAUUUGUUAUUUCUGCUUUUGAAUUGUCUCCUAAUCCUUACUUCUGAUACAUAAAUGAGCUUUGUAGCCACAUCUACUUUAACAUCCUGGCUUUGGCAAAAAAAAAAAAAAAAAAAAAAAAAAAAAAAAAAUGAAA
This is a non-coding RNA of Macaca mulatta (Rhesus monkey), 2215 nucleotides long. The record is from RefSeq and is a predicted model, not a curated record. NCBI's taxonomy places the organism in Eukaryota, Metazoa, Chordata, Mammalia, Primates, Cercopithecidae.